RNAcentral lists this non-coding RNA (45 nucleotides) under Schistosoma haematobium. The record is from RNAcentral. Lineage: Eukaryota; Metazoa; Platyhelminthes; Trematoda; Strigeidida; Schistosomatidae.
AUCCAGCUGACGAGUCCCAAGUAGGACGAAACGCGCGGCCUGGAA